This 254-nucleotide ribosomal RNA is filed under the name uncultured bacterium. RNAcentral's name for it is "partial 16S ribosomal RNA". It matches the Rfam family "Bacterial small subunit ribosomal RNA", at positions 524 to 776 of the family's 1533-position model. The record is from RNAcentral.
UACGUAGGGUGCAAGCGUUAAUCGGAAUUACUGGGCGUAAAGCGUGCGCAGGCGGUUGUGCAAGACAGAUGUGAAAUCCCCGGGCUUAACCUGGGAAUUGCAUUUGUGACUGCACGGCUAGAGUGUGUCAGAGGGGGGUAGAAUUCCACGUGUAGCAGUGAAAUGCGUAGAGAUGUGGAGGAACACCGAUGGCGAAGGCAGCCCCCCUGGGUCAAGAUUGACGCUCAUGCACGAAAGCGUGGGGAGCAAACAGG